Long non-coding RNA from Schistocerca americana (American grasshopper), 494 nucleotides. RefSeq lists it as uncharacterized. The transcript has 3 exons. The record is from RefSeq and is a predicted model, not a curated record. NCBI's taxonomy places the organism in Eukaryota, Metazoa, Arthropoda, Insecta, Orthoptera, Acrididae.
ACAUACAGUGCAGACUGCAGAGUGUCAACUUAGUUUGCGGAUACAAUACACUCUUUCCUUUGUGGCGUCUUUGAAUACUUUCUUCGUAGGCACAUUAUGUGCAAGUAGUGACAAGAAUCUGUAUAGUAUACGCUCUUGAUAUAUGGAAAGUAACAUUUGACGGUUAUUCUGGCGUUACCCAUAUAGCUGGUAACGUUUUUAUGUUAUUUGUACUUCUGAGGAAUUCAAUCUAAGACAGUUCAUACUAUAACGUAUGGAUUCUACGGUACGUGGCCCUAGGAAUGGAGAUACUCUUUCAAGAUUAUAGCGGGGAAGGAAGUUUAAAUAAAAGGGAAGAGUGUAGCAUUCAUGCUGGAGGCCAUAGUUCGUGGUUUCCAAAUGAUCAGCUCAAUAAUGGCACAGAUUUAGUACCAAAUGGCAAGCUGAAGUACUUGAUUUGGAUUACUGAAUCGAGGAAAUACCAGUUGUUGCCAAUAAUGGCACAUACUUAUGAA